ACUCGUCUUCGGUCUCUUAUCUUCCUCCUAAACUCACUUCCUCAAAUCUCACAGAUUCAACCUCAAAUCUCACAAACUAAAUACCCAUCUCAAAAUCAAAACCCGUGUAUCAUCAGAUCUAAAAGAGAACCCCUCUUUUGUAACCCUGGAUUUAACCCAAAGCAAACAUUCAUCUCAUUUCAGCUCGUCGUUUUCCACAUGAAGGAGAUUGAUAUCCUUCAUAUCCAUACAACUCACAUCACCGAAUCAAGCAUGAUUUCAAAACCUAAUCCUAAGCGCAUCGUUGAAUCAAAACCAAUCUCAGAAUCAGAAUUUUAUAUCCCCCAAUUUUGUAACCCUGGAAUUCUUUUCUCCUAAAUCAAAGCAAACCCUCGUCUCAUAUUCGACAGAGUUGAGAGUACAAGAAGAAGAUUUCACCAGUUUUGUGGUUUUGAUGGGUUUGAUAAGGAAGGUGGUGCUGUUGUUGCAUAGAGUUGAUGGUGUGGGUGAUUUUGUUGGUGGUAGCAGGUGUUGGUGGUGUUGUUUUUGCUACAGAAUUUGGGAUUUAAUUUGUGGUGGUGCAUUUGUUUGUGAUGAAUCCCUUGGUUUUUUUAUGAGAAUGGGUGGUGUUGGAGGUAGAAAUUGGUGGACAUCCGACUGAAAUCAGUGGUUGGUAAUUUUUGCUUGUAGUUGUAGUUAGUGGUGUAUUUGUUUAACUUUUAUAAGUAUUUAUGAAUUCACCGGAUCCUGUUUGGAUAACAAAGAUAUUCGGUGCUCAUCAGUUUGAGAUUGUUCAACCAUUGGUAUAAUAGACCAUCUUUCCUUUAAAUGAACUUCAAAAAGAAAUUUUAAGGACGAUACUCAUUAACUUGUCCACCAUUUAUUGUAUUACUAGUUUCAGGUUUUUGGUGUAUGAUGCCGGCACCAAAUACCAUAACAUGCCUUUGAAGGUGAUGGUGCUGGUAAGGAAUUGUAUGCAUAUGGAGGAGGUGGCGACUGUGAUGGUGGGUGGGUACUUGUAAAGGUUUGUAGGUGGACGAGAUUUUGAUGGUUGAGGUGUGGAUUUGUUUAGGGUGUAGUGGAGCCGGUGAUAGUAAAGGUAGCAGUGGUGACUUAUGGUAGUAUGGGGCGGGUACUUGUGAUGGUGGCGGCAGUGACUUGUAGUAGUAGUAUAGUGUAUGCCCUUCUUGCUUACAGCUUAUGGAGAUUAAGGCAUGCCCACGAUGCUAAAUACCUAUGAGUUUUAUCCACUCAAAAGAAUACUUUUAUCACUUUCUCUUUUAAGGUUUCAUGUACGCAGACUUUGUGAAGUCAAAGCCACCAAAUAAAUGACUGUUCAUGAGGGGUGUAUCUACCAGUUGAAACUGUUCGGUUACAAAGACUAUCUAGAUAAUCCACCACCGUUAGGUUUCAAACAAGGAUAAACAUGAACCAUGUAAACCAAGAAACUGGAAUGGUGAAGCCUAGACUGUUCCCCAUACUUUCAGAUUGGCAGAGAGACUGCACCAUGGAGGAUGUAUUGACCCAGUUGAAGAAAGAAAUGGCGUCUCCCCAGAACUGUAAGCUUUCAAAACCUCUUGGAGGUAAAGUUACCCUAUUUCCUCUUUACUUUAUAUGGCACGUAACUUGUCAGAAGUUUUUCUAGAAGAUCUAACAGGCCGAUAAUAUCCUUUCUUGCAUUAACCCGGUGGUCAGGUUAGUCAAAAUAAUGAGGAAGGUAAUGACUAUCUUGUUUGUUAGUACUCGAACUUUUUUUAGUUGCAUUUUUUUUUUUUUAAUAAUGUGAACAUGUGACGGUAAAUCAGCUCAGCUGUUCUUUAUUAUAAUGCUAUAUAUAUUAAAUUUCAUAUAGCUUCCUUCAAUUAAUUCGAUACCCUCGGAUGCAGAGUAUCCAUUGACCUUGGGGUAUAGGAACUUAUAUAUAUUAAAUUUCAUAUAAGUUCUAACAAUUUUUAGGCUAUUCCUAUGUUCCUGGACAAGCAGUGCGUCACCAUGGUAGCCGUUAUGGUGCCAAGGCAACAUGUUUGCAUAAAUUUAUGAAAAAACUUAAAAUUUAUUUGCUUUAUUUCUUCUCAUUCUCUUUUCCUGCAUUAAUUUCAGCACAUGUUUAAGAUGGAGCAGGAAGAGUACAGCGAGGAAAAAAUUAACUGGAGCAACAUUGAGUUCAUUGACAAACAAAAUGGCCUGGAUUUGACUGAAAAGUUACUUUUCCUUUAUAUUAACAAUUCCUAGAAACAGAACAAAAAUUCUGGUUGAGAAGGUUUCAAAUAUGUAGUUUGUGAAUCUAGUAAUGUUAAGGAUAAGUCGGUUCAUUACAUCCUUCAUGUCCAUUGUGCCAAGUGCUUAAAAAGAAUGAGGUUUGGUAUUAAUGAAUCCCUGCUGUAAUACCUUGUUCAGAAUGGAAUUUCAUUGUGUAAAUUCAAACUAAGUUCAUAAUUUUGUAAAAGUUGCAUGGAUGAAUAAUGUUGUAAGGAUGAGUGAUAUUCUUAUCAGGUCAGGGUUUAAGAUUAUUUGUAAUUCUAAAAUUUCGUAAUAUGUAACUUUUUUUUAA
Long non-coding RNA from Papaver somniferum (opium poppy), 2530 nucleotides. RefSeq lists it as uncharacterized. The transcript is spliced from 5 exons. Lineage: Eukaryota; Viridiplantae; Streptophyta; Magnoliopsida; Ranunculales; Papaveraceae. The record is from RefSeq and is a predicted model, not a curated record.